UGGGGAAUAUUGGACAAUGGGGGCAACCCUGAUCCAGCCAUGCCGCGUGUGUGAAGAAGGCCUUAGGGUUGUAAAGCACUUUAAGUUGGGAGGAAAGGAUUAUGGCUAAUAUCCAUGAUCUGUGACGUUACCAACAGAAUAAGCACCGGCUAACUCCGUGCCAGCAGCCGCGGUAAUACGGAGGGUGCAAGCGUUAAUCGGAAUUACUGGGCGUAAAGCGCGCGUAGGCGGCUAAGUAAGCUAGAUGUGAAAUCCCUGGGCUCAACCUGGGAACUGCAUAUAGAACUGCUGAGCUAGAGUGCAGAAGAGGAGUGUGGAAUUUCAGGUGUAGCGGUGAAAUGCGUAGAGAUCUGAAGGAACAUCAGUGGCGAAGGCGACACUCUGGUCUGACACUGACGCUGAGGUGCGAAAGCGUGGGUAGCAAACAG
Molecule: ribosomal RNA, 428 nt
Filed under: uncultured bacterium
Lineage: Bacteria
Description: bacterial SSU rRNA
Rfam family: Bacterial small subunit ribosomal RNA
Source: RNAcentral